UACAGUGGGCUCGUCCCAAAGGGUCAGACGAAGACCUCUGACCUAUGAGUCAUGACUGUUACGAAUGCCUGUUUGAUAUUUAUCAUAGCUUGUGGUGACAUAAUCAUUUUCUGAAAAAAAUGUUUGUGACUGAAAAAUCGUUUACUAGGUGACAAAAACGACUGAAAAAUAUUUCUAAACUUGUGUAGUUGUAUAAGAUAACAAGAAACGCUUCCACAGAAGGACGUGCUCUCAUAUCCCAGUUCUAUAUUGGACUGAAUGAAAACACGACCGCAGAAACUCUUAAAUGAAAAUUUGUUUCUAGGAGUCCCUAUAGAGGGCCUUGCAAUCACUCUCAGAGACACAUCAAGACCAUCGCAUGUAACCGUGAUGUGUGAAGAUGAACGUCCAAAAUAGCUGAAGAGACGAUGUUCAUGAUUGUAUUCUGUAACGCACAAGAAGGAAGAAACCAAUCAGUAGAUAGGUGUCACGAGAUGUCUAUUCUUUACGAAAUUGCCUUUCUUGACUAGAAAUCAAUAACCUAAGGACUCG
Long non-coding RNA from Limulus polyphemus (Atlantic horseshoe crab), 531 nucleotides. RefSeq lists it as uncharacterized. The transcript is spliced from 3 exons. Lineage: Eukaryota; Metazoa; Arthropoda; Merostomata; Xiphosura; Limulidae. The record is from RefSeq and is a predicted model, not a curated record.